UCAGAAUGAUCGCAGCUGCCUCCAAUUCUGAGGUCUUUUCAGUAAAGUAUCUAGAAGCCAUGAAAAAAAAGUCAUGGCUACCUAAGCCCAAAGUUUGAUACUGCCAGAGGAGCAAAGUAUGUUUUCUGCCUUUCUUCUGCCUUCCCAAUCUUGGUAAGCAUUUCUCAUUGAUAUAUUCUAAUGUAGGACUCUGGAGACAGGGAUUCUGAGACCUGCAGUUCCCAGGCUUUGGGCCCCCGUGAUCCAGGGAAGAGCACUGAAGCGAUGCUGGGCCAGUGAAAGAAAAGCUUUCCUUGGGACUCUUCUGAUGCAACUAGUGGGGAAGACUCGCUGUUGCUUCUGGGAUCACAGCUAAUUUAAGUUGCGCUUUUGUUACUUGCAAGCCAAUGAGUCCUCAUGAAUGGCAGAAGGGAGACCAAGUGAACAUUGCUGAGUCUGAGUGUGCCACACACUAUGCAGAGAGGACUAACAAAGGAGCUUGAGCAGCCGGAGAAGAAGGAAUUGGUUCAGACAGUAAAUCUGGGAGGCAACUAUCUUCUGAACAUCAUCCCAACUAAAGAUGGAUUGACUGUUCCCAUCGUCCAAGAAAGGCUUCUUGCUGUUGGGAAGUGGCUGAGCAUCAAUGGGGAAGCUAUCUAUGCCUACAAACCAUGGAGGGUGCAAUCGGAGUAC
This is a long non-coding RNA of Nycticebus coucang (slow loris), 672 nucleotides long. RefSeq lists it as uncharacterized. Lineage: Eukaryota; Metazoa; Chordata; Mammalia; Primates; Lorisidae. The record is from RefSeq and is a predicted model, not a curated record. The transcript is spliced from 3 exons.